Molecule: signal recognition particle RNA, 97 nt
Filed under: Leucobacter sp. OH1287
Lineage: Bacteria; Bacillati; Actinomycetota; Actinomycetes; Micrococcales; Microbacteriaceae
Description: Bacterial small signal recognition particle RNA
Rfam family: Bacterial small signal recognition particle RNA
About the family: The signal recognition particle (SRP) is a universally conserved ribonucleoprotein involved in the co-translational targeting of proteins to membranes. Archaeal SRP consists of a 7S RNA and homologues of the eukaryotic SRP19 and SRP54 proteins. In most bacteria, the SRP consists of a 4.5S RNA and the Ffh protein (a homologue of the eukaryotic SRP54 protein).
Source: Rfam by way of RNAcentral
GAUGGCUCCUCGCGUGGCGCAAUCCGGGUGAACUCCCCCAGGGCAGAAAUGCAGCAAGGGUAACUCGGCUCUUGCGGGUGCGCGAGGAGUUUUUCAU